UGGUAUGACUGGUCUCGCUGAUCCCUCCCUCUUGACGAACUGUGAUGCCAUUAAUUUGGUGUCGCAGGGAAUCAGGACUGUUACUUUGAAAAAAUUAGAGUGUUUAAAGCAGGCUUUCGCUUGAAUACAUUAGCAUGGAAUAAUGAAAUAGGACGUUUGAUCCUAUUUUGUUGGUUUCUAGGAUUGACGUAAUGAUUAAUAGGGAUAGUUGGGGGCAUUAGUAUUCAAUUGUCAGAGGUGAAAUUCUUGGAUUUAUUGAAGACUAACUACUGCGAAAGCAUUUGCCAAGGAUGUUUUCAUUAAUCAAGAACGAAAGUUAGGGGAUCGAAGACGAUCAGAUACCGUCGUAGUCUUAACCAUAAACUAUGCCGACUAGGGAUCGGAUGAUGUUAAUUUUUUAAUGACUCAUUCGGCGCCUUACG
This 422-nucleotide ribosomal RNA is filed under the name uncultured Glomeromycotina. RNAcentral describes it as "SSU rRNA". It matches the Rfam family "Eukaryotic small subunit ribosomal RNA", at positions 672 to 1092 of the family's 1831-position model. The record is from RNAcentral. Lineage: Eukaryota; Fungi; Glomeromycota.